RNAcentral lists this long non-coding RNA (229 nucleotides) under Elaeis guineensis (African oil palm). RNAcentral describes it as "long non-coding RNA (EGUI_LNC030155)". The record is from RNAcentral. Lineage: Eukaryota; Viridiplantae; Streptophyta; Magnoliopsida; Arecales; Arecaceae.
GGGCUAGAUAUGGGUCUAUUAGGUCAGAUCAAAUUUGGGCUUCGAGCCAAGUAUGGGCUCGAAUUGAGGUCGGGAUUUAGGUAAUAUAUCUUGUCGAAGCAUGAUCGAAAGCCUGUAAAAAAUUUUUUGGGCCUCAAACAUGUUACUUGACCGAAUGCCAAUCCUAGAUAUGAUAAAAAGAAAUUCUUUGUGCACCAUGAGUGGUGCAGAAUACGUGCACUGUUCGUGA